RNAcentral lists this long non-coding RNA (41469 nucleotides) under Ananas comosus (pineapple). RNAcentral's name for it is "long non-coding RNA (ACOM_LNC028275)". Lineage: Eukaryota; Viridiplantae; Streptophyta; Magnoliopsida; Poales; Bromeliaceae. The record is from RNAcentral.
UUAUAAAAAGUGCAAGUAAAAAAAAUUAUUGGUGGCAUUUUUAAAUAACUGCCCUUGAUAAAAUUUAUAUGAGAGCCCACCCCUUUUUUUUUCGAAAACUGUAUAAUCAUCUCACAAUUCCACAAGAAAACUGUCGAGUAUUGAUCGAGUGGGAAUUUUUUGCCAUUAUCUUUUUACUUGGUGUGCAAGAGAAAAAAAAAAGCCCUAGCUGCUAUCGCCCAAGCCCUCUUCAUCCUAUUUGGGAGUACCCUAAUUUUAUCUGGGUUUCCACCUCUUUCUCUCUCCUCCUCCUCCUCCUCCUCCUCCUUCGAUGGUGCCUCGGCUCUCUCUUCUUCCCACGCGCCGCCGUGCUCGGCCUCCCUCGCUCCUGGCGCUCCAAGUGCUCCUUCCAACAACCCUUGUUGCUCUACCCCUUCGCCGUUGUUGAUCCCCUGCCCAACCGCUAGGCUCCGCCUACUGCGGCGCCUACCUGCGCUGCCUCCGCCUCUGCCACCGACUCUGUCCCCCGGCUUCCACACCUUCUCUCCUCUUCCUCGUUGCCCCCAACCUCGUCCUCCCCCUCUAGGGCCGCCUCCGCAUCUGCCACUACCGCCAUCCCCAAAGCCCUAAAAAUGAAAAAACAACACAAAAAGGUAAAAUGUGCAAAUAUGCUCCCUCUACUAUCCCCACUACCACAAUUUCUUCUUUUGCUUGCCACUCAAACUUUUUGCAUAUACUGUAAUUUAUAGCUUCUAACAAGCAAAGAAUAUAAUUAGUAAUGGGAACGAAAAAAAAAAUUGGUCUUUUCCUCUUUUAUUAGGGUUUUUAACUAUAUCAUUGGCAUUUGGUCCUCAUUGCUGAUGAUCUUUGCCUGAGCCAAAGAUAAACCACACAAAAGAAAACUACCAGCCGGCAGGUGAGCUUUCCAUGCUAUGUGUUGUGUUCCCCUCUCUCGUCCGCCGUGCCCUCGCGUUUAACUCCCUUUCCGGCCCCACCCCCUCUGCCUUCGCCGUCGCUCGCCGGAAUAUUCCCCUUCUCGUCAUCCACCAUAGCCGCUUCCGUUGCGACAUAGGAGGAUCCGAUCCUGUUGCGUGCCGAAUUUCCUGACCCUUGACCCGAUCAAAGAUCCUCUUCGGGGAGCGUGUCGAGAUGAAAACGGCUUCGGAUUGUGACCCUCGAAGUUUGUGCCCUUCGAUUGAUCAAGCAAUUCGGCUGGCGAGGGAUUGGAUCAGCCGGGUUCGAAACCUCUACAAUCACUACAAGAAAAUAGCCUUUUGUGGAGAAAAUUUUCGCCACAAAAAGAACAAAUUUCGUCACAAAAUAUUUUUUGUGGCGGAAUAUUCUGCGCCACAAGCCCGCCACAAUAAGCCCGCUGUAAAAUAUACUUGUGGGGAAAAUUAAUAUUCGCCAUAAAAAGUUAUUCUAUUUGUGGCGAAAUAUUUCGUCAUAAAAUUAGUAUAUUAAUUGUGAUGUGGAAAGUAUUUGCUGGGAAAAUAUUCGCCACAAAAGAAGUCAUGCAUUUGUGGCAAACUACUUUGCCAUAGAAGACAUGUGUCAACUGUGACCAAAACGGUUGGCCACUACAUGUGGAAAGCAUUUGCUAGGAAAAUAUUCGCCACAAAAGAAGCCAUGCAUUUGUGGCAAACUACUUUGCCAUAGAAGACAUGUGUCAACUGUGAUCAAAAAGUUGGCCAGUAUAUGUGGAAAGCAUUUGCUGGGAAAAUAUUCGCCACAAAAGAAGCCAUGCAUUUGUGGCAAACUACUUUGCCAUAGAAGACAUGUGUCAACUGUGACCAAAAAGUUGGCCACUAAUUAAAUCCCAAAAGAAUUACGUUGACAGUUCAAAACUUUUAUAGCCAAACACAAUAUUUCACCACAAAAUUUAUUGAUCUUUUGGAUCAACUAUUGAUUUGAGACAAUUUUAAAAAAAAAUUGCUACUAAUAAAAUUAUAAAAGUAAUUAAGUAAUACUCUGAGCAUAAAAAUUUUCAAAUAAGAACCAAAAUAUCAAUAAACAAGUUGUUCCAUUACUAAUAUCCAAAACAUACAAAAAGUUUCAUGCAUCUCCAACAUACACAAAUCCAUUACUAAUAUCCAAAACAUACAAAAUGCUUCAUGCAUCUCCAACAUACACAAAUUGUUUAAUUAUACCACUUUUACAACUAGUUAUAAGAUUUCUUAAACAUAAUAUGAAGAUGCUUUAAGUAUCCACAAAAUAUGCAAGCCUUCAGUUGUUCCCCUUUCAAAACCACUAGACAAAUGGAAAUGAAAUCCAUGAAGCUCAUAUGCCUUGUUUAAUCCUGCACAAUAAAAAGAGAAAAUAAAAUUAGACAGUAUAUCACCAAUUUCUCAAAAACCAACUAACAUUUUCAUGCAAUAUGAACUUACUUGAUCGUAAAUAUUUCAAUCUUAAUUGAACUAAAAGUAAGCAAGGUUUCUAAAAUUUACGAGUGGAGUACCCGCGCUUCGCUGCGGACAAUUUUGAUGCUAAUAUUUAAUUUGCUGGUAUUAUUGCAAGGAAAUAAAAAUGUUAUAACAAAGCAACAAAUAGCAGCUAAUAAUUAGGUAGCUUAACGCUAAAUAGAAUUAUCACAAAGAACCACAUCAAAUAUUUGACAGAGUCAUAUUAUUUUCUAAAGAUAUUGAAAACUCUGAACAUUCAGAAAAUCAUAAGAGGUAUAUUGUAAAAUGAUAGCAUAAAAAAAUAUACAUCUCAUAUCGAUAGACAUCAAAGUAUUGCCAUAAAAAUCACCCUAAUUAUUGCAAAAUGAAAACCACCCUAAAUUAAGCACAAAAUUAUCACUGCUAUUUGGUACAAUUAAGAUUGAUAUCAAUAUAUUGUGCAGACACAAAACAGUCAAAGCAAGCUUUUCAAAGAUGAGAAAUAUAUCGCAGAGAGCUUUUCUGUGAAUUCUAUACAUAAAGAAUGGAAAAGGACUUCACAUUGGAGCAUUGCACUACAUGUUACUAAUAUAUGUGGAAGUCUGAAAUAUUAAUGUUGUGUCACUUAUGGACUCCAAAUUAAAAUCUUGGGUAGGAUUUAGUAGAGACCAAACAGUUAUCUAGUAAUUUGACCUGUCAAAUUUUUUAUCACAUGAUUGCAUAUGAAGAAAUUAAACACAUAGAAGGUAUAGAAGUGCAUAAAAUUAAGGCUCAGGUACAAAUUUUAACUUCAUGGCAUUAGGAAUCACUUGAUGUCACACUCAUCAUUAGAUCAAAAGGAAAAAUAUAUACAGACAUGCAUUUUCGUUGGGGCUAAAUAAGAAAUACUUCAAGACAUUGAAUCAAGAGAAAGAAAUAAAAAUGUUAGUAUAAACACCAGCAACAAAAUCUGUAACAAAAAAAUAAAGAAUUCCAAACAAAACAGUUAACAACAACUAUGAGAAAUGCAUGAGCAAGAACAUAUUAAUAUUGAAAACUAUAAGACAUAUAUAAGGCUCAGAUUGUUCAACAAUUAAUAUCAUAAUCGGUCUACUACAAACAUUUAACCGUCAAACUGUUUGAAAUAUUUGCAACGGCCCAAACAUCUGGACUACGUGCACCCACACAUAAAAGCCACCGAAUGGUUGCCUACAUAGUAGGCCAUCCAAAUUCUACAUACCUUUCAUUCUUAUAAUAUAAAUGCAUCAAUAGAGCAUUCACAAUCUAUAUACCAGCAGACCAGUGCACAUCAUAUUGUCGAUUCCUUUCGCCAAGUAAAAAAAGUAAUGGCCUGUCAUACACAACCACUUUUCUAUUUCAUCACAUCACAGAGUGUCAAAUUCUUGUAUAUCAUCAUCGCCUUAUUUUAAAAAAAACAUAACGAAUGAAAUAGAAACUGUAAAAUCAUAAAAGCAUACAAUAACGAAUAAAACCCAAACCAUCAACCCAUAUAAACACCCAAAGGCCAUUUUCUGUACAACAGAACCAUAAAAAUCUGCAGAACAAAGUAGGAGAAAAAGUUUGAGGAAAUUUCAGUUCCAUGCUACAAUAACAAUAAACAAAUUCAUUGUAAGGCCAAGGGUUCUGCAUAAGAAAAGAAGAAUAUAAAAACUGCAAAUUCCAUACUAAAACACUACAAUAAGACUUAGAGUUCAAUACGUAGAUCAUAUAAUUGAUUUCUCAUAGAGGGCAGUAUACGAGAGAGAUGUUAGGGUUUAGGGCUUCGUGCGAAGGUGGAGCGAUCCGAGAUCUGAAGCUCUUCGCGCCCAGAUCUGUGAGGUUUUGAUCUCUGCUCCACCCCAUAGUUUUGUGAUUUUGUCUAAUUUGGAGCAUCGAAUGAUUGUGUUGAGUGUCGAUUCUUACUGGUUGAUAUGAUUUUGUGAUUUCAAUGUUAAUUUCUUUUUUGGUCGAUUGGCUCUUGAUCUAGUAUGGUGCAUGAGUGAGUGUUGUUUUGAUGUGUGAAAUUUGUUGAUACCUUUAAAGGGGUUCUCGUCUUUUGUUUAGAGGUGAAUCUCUACAUUGGGUUGUUAUGAGUGUGAAUGGAAAUGAAAAUUAGGCAAAAAAGAUAUGAUAAAAUAGUAGUGUAGCUUUAGAAGGCCUUGUCCUCCAACAGUUUUGAAAGUCAUCAGCUAGCAUUAUGGAAUGUUGUAGCUUUAGAAGCUCUUCAUUUGCUUUUUGGCUGCAGCAUUAGCAGCGGAACCUCGUCCACCUCUUGCUCUUCCUUUUCUCUGACUGGUGCUAAACCUUGUUGUUGCAUUAGCUACUCUCUCAGUAGAGAACAUAGGCUGUCAAGGACGAUAACUUGAAUUAAAUAAUUAAUAUAUGUGAAAUACAUGCAACUGUAUAAUAUUUUUUCGCAUUAAAUUACUCUAAUACCUGUGAGCACCGAUUGAAUGAUUCUACAUCAAAAUAUCACAAUUUGUCUGAUAGGCUGGAGACACUAAAUUGUUCACCAAUCUGAGAGAAUUUGUUUGUUGCUCUCUAAUAUUAUAUAAGAAUAGGUUUGUUAGAAUUUAUUAUUACAAAUACAUUAGUUCCAAAAUAAAAUUCUACUUGUUUUCUUUUUGGUUCUCACCUCCUCUGCCAUAAUGUCUCCCCUUGUGACUGAUGCUGUACAUGUCCUCAAAUUGUGGCCUUCUUUGCCGGCAUUUUCCACACUUUAUUGGUUUGUCCAUUCUCGAUACUUUGUAGGGUUUAAAGGUUCAUCUGCAUCUUUUCUCCUAAGCUCUCUAGGUCUCCCUGGUGGCUUUUAUACGCCAAGGCACUGGAGCUGGCAUUGAAGUCUUAUCCAUGUCAUUUUGUUCAGGAAUUGGAUUGAUAAUCUCUUCAAUACGCCUUAAGAUACAACUGCCUUGGUAUAACACUGAUGUAAAUAUCCUCAGGCUUUCCUUGUUGUGAAAAUUGCUCAAUGGCAUGUUUGCACGUGAUUCCUGUUAGAUCCCACAACCUACAACUACAUUGCCUUUUCUACCAAAUCCACCGCAUCUUACCAUCCAAGCAAUCAACCUCAUAACUUUAGCCUUCCCACAUGGAAUUGGGAAGCAAUGUCGUGCAUCUACUUUCAAUUUCUCCAACUUCUUUUGAAUGUUUGGGCAUAUUUGGCCCUCUAUAUUUCUCCAUUCUUCUCUUUUUAUAUAAAACUUUUCAUCAAUCUCACCAAAUUCAUUCUAGCAUUGAUACGAUAGGUUUAUCUCUGGCUUUCAAAAGACAACUAUUAAAGGACUCUGAGAGGUUAUUCACAAAGAAUGUCUGAUUUUGCCCUACUAGAAAAAUAUGCCUUGGAACACUGAUUGUGUGAGAUUUUUCUUAACCAGUCGUAUGCAUCCAUCCUUAUCUAGCUUCUUUAGUUCUUCCAUUUGGUGAGAUUUUUCUUUCAAACUCUCUAGUUGUUGUGGCAUUUGCAACACUGCCACAUUGCAUCUUUUAAUUCUUUACCUUAAUUGCAACUCUUUGAAUUGUUAUAUAAAUGCCUCAAUGCAAUAUCUAUGCUCCACAAAUUAGGCAAUUUUCUUCAAACACUUGAACUAAGCCCUAAAAUCCACCACAUGAAUAUAGUAAGAAUACUAUAACUAAAAUCAUAAAAAAUGAUUAAAGAAAUCUAAAUGACUAUACCUUGCCUAUCAGAGAUAAACACUGUCCUAGAUCCUCUUGGACUACAAAAUCAUCAAUAAAGCACUUUCAAUUGUAAUUUCUAAAGAAUUCCCCACCUUUAUAAUAAUAAACAUUUUAGAGGACCUUGUAGGUCUGCUUUGAUGGCAAAUCAAAAUUUAAAUGUGUUAUCAUCAUCUGAGCCUUCAAUACUCAUAGUUGAAAAAACUAGGGAUCACUGUCUUCUUCAAUCAUCUUUUAUGUUAUCAUCAUCAUCACUCUUACUCUCACUUUCCUCAAACAUCAUUGCCUUUUUUAUCUACCUUCAGUAUCUGUACGAUGGACAUCUCCCGAUCAAAGCCUUACCUCACAUAUUUCUCAUUUACAUCUCCUUAUUAGCGACAAUCUUUGCUAGAUAACAUUCCAUUUAUUUGUUUGAGGAGUUGACUGCACCUUAUUGCUUUUAGACUUGUCAUUCACCUAUCAUCGGCUCAUAUAGCUAUCAACAUGUAAGACAAUAGUUCUUAAUUGCCCAUGUUCUUGUAGCAUUUGAGCUACAUCCUGAUCAUUGCUAAUCUUCUUUAGAAUAUGAUUGAGUUUAGGCUGUAAGUAAUAAAUGUCGCGCCUUGUAGCCUGAUCAAGAUCACUAGCUAAACUAUUCAAUUCAAAAAAACUGAUAAAGCACCAUCAUAUUCCCUGUAUUCCUUAAUUAAACCACCCAUAUACUUUAUAUUGGGUGUAAUUUGAAGGCAACCACCAUAAUAAUUUUUUAAGUUUGUAACCGCACUUCUCCCAUCUAUAAAAAGAUAGAAUUAGACAACAUAAAGAUAUGAAAUUACAUUAAUACGUAAUGUAAAAAGCGAUCUAAAUAGAAUAAUACUUAGGACCACAUAUAACUAUAAAAAUGCUAAGGAGAAAUAUAAGAAAUGGAAAAUUUCAAUACAACUCAAAUGCAAGAGAAAGGCGAGGAUAUUCUGACAACUCGUGAAGCCUAUACAAUUGUACUUGAGCACAGAUCCUGGAUAUGUUCGAGUAUGGGUCCAGCCCCCCUGAGCACUUUAGAGAAUGGCGGUCUGAGGGACAACGGCUCGUGCACAAAUACAACAGAGAUCGAGGUUGAGAUGACAGCUCGAAUUCAAGAGGAGGUAGAGGCACGCAUGGCACAAAAAAGAGAGUGAGCGUACAAGCUCGAAUAGAGCAACGAGAGGCUGAAGCAGAGGCUCGUUUAGCUCAAAGGAGGCACGAUUGAGCAAAAUGGAAGCCCCAGAUCGUGCUGUUAUGGCAGCAUUUAUCAGAAAUGUGGAUGCCUUUAUCUUCGCAGCCAACAUCCGCUAGUCGUUGUAAGUAAUAAAUUNNNNNNNNNNNNNNNNNNNNNNNNNCCGUAAAUGAUUUGUCACUCCAUCCAUUAAUGCAUUUAAGUUGUAGUAAAUUUACAAUAAACUCUAAUUUAGAGAACUCUUUGCAUCCUGGAUAUAGUUCUUGCUCAGCAUCCAACAAUAAAUGGUAAAAUUUCUUUGCUGCCUCAUUUGGUUCCUCCUGAUUGUGAUCAAUAAAAUCCACAUUGGCAUCUUCCGUUCUACCUAAAUCAUGCAAAAGUUCAUGCAUGUUAUCAUGGUUAUUUUCUUCUUCUUCUUCCGGUUCAUUAUCAUCGUCUAUACUUUCAUUGUUUUAUCUAUAUAUUCCUCCCCAUGACAAAACCACCAUUUAUAAUCCCUUAGCAUCCCGUAUAGCAAAAGGUGAGAGUACACAAUAUUGCGAGUUUGGAAAGUGGCAUUGCAACAUUUGUAACAAGGGCAUCGAAUUUUGUCUACUCUUGAAGUAUGUGCAAAUGCAAAUUGGAGAAAAUUAUUAACUCCAUUCACAUACUCUGGACAUCGUCUAUUCUCUAUAUCAAUCCAGGUCUUAUCCAUUAUUCAAAGUACUACAUUCCAUAUAAUAAUAAGAUAACAACAUCAAAUAAUGCUAACUUAAUAAUUGAACAAGAUAUCUAAGAAGUGAGUAGCUUUUGUAUAACAUGAAAAAAUUGAUAGUACGAUUGCUGGAAACUUAAGUUACAACUAAAAACUAAUCAUAGUGAACCCAAACAAUCAAUAAAAGUGACCUUAAAUUUGUCUUAAUAAAAUAAUGUUCUACAAAAAUUUAGCGACAAGAAAGUGUGAAUAUGCGCUAUAUACCUAUAAAAGAAAAAACCUCGUUCCACUAUAGGAAAACAAGUUUGCCAAAUACACCCAAUAGUAUCUAGCAUUUAGAUACAAUAAUUGUGCCAUAAUCUAUAAUCAAGUUAGUAUAAGCUAAAUAAAACAAAUAGCGAUUUAACAACAUAUAAAAGAGGGCCAUCACUUUUAAUUCAAGAUUAAACAUACGAGUCGUAUUGCUUACUAAUCAAGAAAAUGAAGAAUGGUAAUAUAAGACAACAAUUUAGAAACAAGCAAACACUAAAAUAUCAGAAAUAUAAAAAUAAAUUAAGAAAGAAAAACAAUACUUGGAGAAAUGUGAAUCAACUACGAUUCGAACUUCAAAAAUCCCACAAGGUUUCACUUUUUUUCAUUUUAAUACCCUGUGGUUUAAAGUGUAUCAAAUUAGUACACUGUGGUUUUGCCCUUAUUUAUGCUAAGAAUUUUUUAUUAUUUAUCUCGAUUUUUGGAUCAUCUUUAUAUUUCUUUAUUAAGGCCUUAAUUUUUUAUAGCUAUAUGUGGUCCUAAGUAUUAUUCUAUUUAGAUCACUUUUUACAUUACGUAUUAAUGUAAUUUCAUAUCUUUAUGUUGUCUAAUUCUAUCUUUUUACAGAUGGGAGAAGUGCGGUACAACUUAAAAAUUAUUUAUGGUGGUUUGCUUCAAAUUACACCCAAUAUAAAGUAUAUGGGUGGUUUAAUUAAGGAAUAUAGGGAAUAUGAUGGUGACUUUAUCAGUUUUUUUGAAUUGAAUGGUUUAGCUAGUGAUCUUGAUCAAGCUACAAGGCGCGACAUUUAUUACUUACAGCCUAACUCAAAUCAUAUUCUAAAGAAGAUUAGCAAUGAUCAGGAUGUAGUUCAAAUGCUACAAGAACAUGGGCAAUUAAGAACUAUUGUCUUACAUGUUGAUAGCUAUUAUGAGCCGAUGAUAGUGAAUGACAAGUCUAAAAGCAAUAAGGUGCAGUCAACUCCUCAAACAGAUAAAUGGAAUGUAUCUAGCAAAGAUGUCGCUAAUAAAGGAGAUGUAAAUGAAGAAAUAUGUGAGGUGAGGCUUGAUCGGGGAGAUGUCCAUCGUAUAGAUACUGAAGUAGAUAAAGGCAAUGAUGUUGAGGGAAGUGAGAGUAAGAGUGAUGAUGAUGAUAACAUAAAAGAUGAUGAAGAAGACAGUGAUCCCAGUUUUUUCAACUAUGGUAUUGAAGGCUCAGAUGAUGAUAACACAUUUAAAUUUGAUUUGCAUCAAAGAGGACCUACAAGGUCCUCUAAAAGUGUUAUUAUAUAUAAAGGUGGGAAUUCUCUAGAAACUACAAUUGAAAGUGCUUUAUUGAUGAUUUUGGUAGUCCAGAGGAUCUAGGACUAGUGUUUAUCUCUGAUAGGCAAAAGGUAUAGUCAUUUAGAUUUCUUUAAUCAUUUUUUAUGAUUUUAGUUAUAGUAUACUUACUAUAUUCAUGUGGUGGAUUUCAGGGCUUAGUUCAAGUGUUUGAAGAAAAAUUGCCUAAUGUGGAGCAUAGAUAUUGCAUGAGGCAUUUAUAUAACAACUUCAAAGAGUUGCAUAAAGGUAAAGAAUUAAAAGAUGCAAUGUGGCAGUGUGCAAAUGCCACAACAACUAGAGAGUUUGAAAGAAAAAUCUCACCAAAUGGAAGAACUAAAGAAGCUAGAUAAGGAUGCAUACGACUGGUUAAGAAAAAUCUCACCAAAUCAGUGGUCCAAGGCAUAUUUUUCUAGUAGGGCAAAAUCAGACAUUCUUGUGAAUAACCUCUCAGAGUCCUUUAAUAGUUGUAUUUUGGAAGCAAGAGAUAAACCUAUCGUAUCAAUGCUAGAAUGGAUUCGGGUGAGAUUGAUGAAAAAGUUCUAUAUAAAAAGGGAAGGAAUGGAGAAAUAUAGAGGGCCAAUAUGCCCAAACAUUCAAAAGAAGUUGGAGAAAUUGAAAGUAGAUGCACGACAUUGCUUCCCAAUUCCAUGUGGAAGGCUAAAGUAUGAGGUUGAUUGCUUGGAUGGUAAGCAUGCGGUGGAUUUGGUAGAAAGGCAAUGUAGUUGUAGGUUGUGGGAUCUAACAGGAAUCACGUGCAAACAUGCCAUUGCAGCAAUUUUCACCAACAAGGAAAGGCCUGAGGACUAUUUACAUCAGUGUUAUACCAAGGCAGUUUAUCUUAAGGUGUAUGAAGAGAUUAUCAAUCCAAUUCCUGGACAAAAUGAAUGGAUAAAGACUUCAAUGCCAGCUCCAGUGCCUUGGCGUAUAAAAAGCCACCAGGGAGACCUUAGAAGCUUAGGAGAAAAGCUGCAGAUGAACCUUUAAACCCUUACAAAGUAUCGAGAAUGGAUAAACCAAUAAAGUGUGGAAAAUACGGCAAAGGAGGCCACAAUUUGAGGACAUGUACAGCAUCAGUCACAGGGGAGACAUUAUGGCAGAGGGUGAGAACCCAAAAAGAAAAACAGGUAGAAUUUUAUUUUGGAACUAAUGUAUUUGUAAUAAUAAAUUCUAACAAACCUAUUCUUUAUAAUUCAUAGAGAGCAACAAACAAAUUCUCUCAGAUUGGUGAAUAAUUUAGUGUCUCACAGCCUAUCACGACAAAUUGUGAUAAUUUUGAUGUAGAAACUAAUUCAAUCGGUGCCUCACAGGUAUAAUCAUUUUAAUGCAAAAAAAAGUUAUACAGUUGCAUGUAUUUCACAUAUUUAACUUAUUUAAUUCAAGUUAUCGUCCUUGACAGCCUAUGUUCUCUACUGAGAGAGUAGCUAAUGCAACAGCAAAAGGUUUAGCACCAGUCAGAGGAAGAGGAAGAGCAAGAGGUGGACGAGGUUCCGCGGCUAAUGCUGCAGCCAAAAAAGCAAAUGAAGGGCCUUCUAAAGCUACAAACAUUCCAUAAAUGCUAGCUGAUAACUUUCAAAAGCUGUUGGAGGACAAGGCCUUCUAAAGCUACACUACUAUUUUAUCAUACUUUUUUGCCUAAUUUUCAUUUCCAUUCACACUCAGUAACAACCCAAUGUAGAGAUUCACCUCUAAAAAAAAGAGAGAACCCCUAUUAAGGUAUCACAAAUUUCACACAUCAACAACACCUCACUCCAUCCACCAUACUAGAUCAAAGCCCAAUCAACAAAAAAAGAAAUUAACAUCGAAAUCACAAAAUCAUAUCAACAGUAAGAAUCGACACUCCAAUACAAUCAUUCGAGCUCCAAAUUAGACAAAAUCACAAAACUAUGGGGUGGAGCAGAGAUCAAACCUCACAGAUCUGGGUCGGAAGAGCUCGAUCUCGGAUCGCUCCACCUUCGCACGAAGCCCUAAACCCUAACCCGAUCGAGGGCGAAGGCGAUGAAGAAGAAGAAGUAGCAGAUUCACAAAAUGCGGAGAAGAAGCUGCCGAUUCUAUAUAAAGACCCUAAUGAUUUGUAAAUAAAGUUAUUAAUGUGAUUCUAAAUUUUCAUGAGAUUUUUUUCAACAAAAAUUAAUAAAAAAGAAAAAAAAUUUAAUUAAGGGAGUGGGAGGAGACCUUGAGCAAACAAAGCUUGGUUACGCGUGCAAACGAGCAACAGAUCGAAGUUGGUUGCACGCGCAAUCGUAGAUGACGCGGCGCGAGGGUGUAGUCCACAGCCUCGCAGAUCCACACGGCGCGCGCAACGGGGAGGAGCGGAUGUAGUUGUGGGGUAGUCGGAGGAGCGGAUGUAGUUGUGGGGUAGUGCACAGCCACGCGGAUCCACGCGGCGCGCGCAACUGGCGAGGUGGAGACGGGCCUUGCUGUGCCGGGGUUAGGAAGCGGAAGGAAAAGAUGAAGGAUCCAUGGAGAAAAGGAGAGAGAGAGAGAGAAACAGGGUAGGUGAGGGAGGUCUAAUCAGAGUGUGGGUUGGCGCGCAACAAAAAAAAAUUGGUGGUUUUUUUUUUUGUGGCCAUAUAUUGUAAAUGGCCACAAAAUAGUAUAAAAUUUCUGGCCCAAUCAUUCGCCACAAUACUCACUUCAUUUUUUGUGACCAAAUAUUAUAGGUGGCCACAAAAGUAUAGCAAUUUUGUGGCGGCAAUGGAAAAAUCCCUGCAAUCUGUACUUUAAAAUUUAUGUGAAGAUCAUUAGUGAAAAAAAUUAAAAUUCUCCACAAAAAGUAAGCAUAUUGUGGGAUAAUCAAAUUGGCCACAAAUAAUUCUCCAUAGAAGUCUAUCUUUCUUGUAGUGAUUCAUACAACACCCCAACCAGUAGUAUAGAGCUACUAAAGAGAAAAGCAUAUAUAAUAACAGAGGUUCAUCAUACAUACGUAUCCAAGUAUACAAAACGCUCGCUACAGCGAGAUACAACAUCAGUAUGUAUAAUAACCCAAAAACUAUAACUACAUGUAGCUGGUAUACUCUAGAUCAGCAGCAACUGGGAAGGGAUCUAACUCGCGACUCCCUUUCCACGAUCUGAAACAGCAGCAGCAACAGCAGCCGAAGAAGAAGGCUCUGCAAAAAAUUCCAACAACUGGGCGUGAGUAUUACUGCAAAAAGAAGUAGUCUUUAGUGGGUACCGCUACCGACCUCAACGGCUCACCCACUAAGUCUACAGAUGAUAUACUCAAUGAUAGUAAAGAAUUGGAAAUACUUUACAGCUACAUGCUACUAUACUAUCAGUAAUCAACACUAACUAUCUGUAGAACAAUGCCAUCUCUGACCCAAUCUCACUAGAGACUGUAAGCAUACUCGUCCCAGGGACUGUGAGCACACCCGUCCCCACCUGUCGAAGCUAUACAGCUACCUCCACGCUAAGCAGUCCGUGGAGAGCAAGUCCAACCAGCACGAACCGACACCAACGCAAACGCACAAAGCCCGACUCCGGAAUGGCACUAGUGGGCGCUACCAAACCGAGUAUGCAAGCGUAUUCCUGUUGAGCUCAAUCAGGCUCUCACAGGCUAUAGUGAAGUAAACAGGGUCUACCUAGUCUAACAAUCAAACUCACGUGCCCUCGGCACAAUCUGAUGUAAAAAUAGCAAUCUGGGUCUACCGUCAACCUCAACGGUAUCCGACAGUCCGGAACAGCCUAACCACUGCUGUAAAAAUAAGCUCGGCGUCCGAGCACGAGGGUAAAUAUAUACUACACUAUCCUGAGUGUCCCCGUCAACCAAAUUGCGGCAAUACUAACAAACUACAGCUCCUAAGCUAUACGCGUAUCAAAUGCGCACUAGCAGCGUGGAUACGAAGCGCAACAGCUUAAAGAGCUAUCUGAUAGUUUUUAGAAACGACAGUAUAGAACCUACAGUUGAAGAUUACUCGAGCUCGGCAUCCAAGCACGAGCGUAAAUGCAUUCUACACUAAUCUGGGUAUCUACUGUCCACAACUGCGGCGAUGCCAACAAACUACGGCUCCUAGAGCUAAAUCUGGUAGUUUUAACAUAUGACGGUAUAGAAACGGAAGUUUUCUCCUAAGUCAAUUCAAAGUCCAAUAUGUAUAUUUAACUAAUAUUUUAAGCUCCAAACUCCGAUUUCAUAAGCAUGCAAAUCACUAGUUCGAGCUAAUUACAAGAUAUACAAAAGACUAAACAUACAUGCUGUCAACUACUAAACUUAGAAGGAGAUCCGAAAAUUUCAGUAAGCAUCAUUAACCCACCUCUAGCGUAAUGUCCGACACAGCUAGAAGUCGCGAAGCCACUGAGAAACACAGCCGAAACCACCCCUAGACCAGCAACCAACCAGCAACAACCUCUCUAUGGGUCUACACACAAAAAUCACCAAAACUCCAUCAAAAUCCACAAUUUCAGCAUUUAAGCUUAAAUUCACAAAACCUCAAUGUCAAAUUCACCUUCCAAAGCUCAAUUCAGGUGAAGAAAGGUCCCAACAGUAGUGAAGUAUGAUGGAGUACUGUCUUCAGGUCCGAAAUCCAGCUUUCUCCCGGGUUUAAUCCAAGAAAACCAAUAAAACUCAGCUUCAGCCCGCAAAUACCAGCAUCUCAGAAGAACACGAAAUUGAUUAUACAAACUUCAAUCAAUUUCUAUCAAAUUUGCUCCACGAAUUCUCCAAGAAGUCAACUAACCACCAAACCAAGUUUCACAGCAAUCUGACCCUUCUAUGUCGCACACGAGCCAAAACGCCGCAAGUCGCUGCUGAAAUUCUGUUGAAACUGCAGUCUUUGAAGUGGAAAGCAUGCAAAUUGUGAAAUUUGGAGUGAUUUGAGGGGCUAAGAUGCAAAAUAUAGCUCCUCUGUGAAGAAGGGAAGAAAAGGCUUCUCAAGAGUCGAAUACCAUCUAUUUAUAGUGAGGUGAGAGGAUAAGAUAAGCCCCAAGAACAAACACUGCAAACCUGCUGCCCCUACAGAAACGCACAUUUCGUGCGUCCGAAACCAUGUUCUGGGCGUCCGAAACCUCUAGGCUGCACAAAUGUUCCUCAUCGGUUCUUUCGCCCGCGGUGUACGACUCUGACUCAGUCCGACACUCUCCAGAUGUGUCAACUAGUCACUAAUACUGUAGCCAACUGUCACGCCCUGAGACUGCCGAUUUGGUCGGUUCGUGCCCGUACACAGACGCCGAACGAACAGAACCUCCUCUGUUCGUCCAAGGCUCAACAACAACAACAAACAUGUAUAAAGAAAUGCCCAAAAAAAAUUUCAACAUACAUGGCUUGCACGAGGGCAAGCAACACAAGCAAGUGUAAGUAAACUAACUAAAGCAUUCAUAUAUUGUAUCUUGAUUACUUUAAAUCAAAUACAAAGCUUACAUAAUUAUUACAUUCAUUCUUCCAAUAUAUACAUUGCCAUCUUUCAAAUGAAUAAUUUACAUUUACUUUCAUCAACUAUAAACAGAUGAAAUUAAUAAGGUACAACUAUACUCAAUGGAUGUCCAUUAUCUAUGGAACGCUGUCCAUACCACGAUCCUCGAUCACCCCGCACGAGCUAGAACUUGCAUGAUUAGUGGGGUGAGAACUACUGAAAGUUUCUAGUGGGUUCGGCUGCCCACUUCGCCGACUCACCCAUUAGGUUUAUUCUGGCAUAUGUAGGCAAGAAAAGAGAAUAGAUAGUAACCAGAUAUAACAUGUAACUACUACAAUGCCUGCACAAAGCUAAAAGAAACAGUAGACAAUAUCUGAAAUUGAUGCAUGCAUGCUACUAAUAACCUUUACCCAAUCCAAUUGGUUAACCAUUUGGUUAACAAUAACUCACCAACUAAAUCCCAAGUAUCGGGGAGACGUAAGCUACAUCCCGACGGGAUCGUCUACUGGGGAAGAAGCUAGCUCCUGAUCCAGUUGAUAACUGCUGAGAUGAUUUAGGUAUAGUGUUAUUAGUGCUUUCUUGCAGAGGUAUAUAUGGAAACAUCAUGCAUUCUAACUAAUUUCAAGUGUCCUUUUUCAGCAAUGCUACGUAAUGAAGUUGGGUGGUUUGAUGAAGAGGAGAACAGUGCUGAUACACUGUCCAUGCGUCUAGCAAAUGCCGCAACCUUUGUUCGCACCGCCUUCAGCAACCGUCUUUCAAUUUUCAUACAAGACACAACUGCAGUUGUUGUGACUCUGGUUAUUGGCAUGUUGUUGGAGUGGCGGGUGGCGCUUGUUGCCCUAGCAACUGUACCUAUCCUUACGGUCUCUGCUAUUGCACAGGUUAGCAUGCAUCAUAUCUCUGUACAGUAGUAUCUCCUUGUGUGUCGCCUGCAAAAGUGCUCUGACAUUUGUGUGUUGUUGCCCUAUGGCUUGGUUGCUUCAACAUAAACAUUUGGCAAACUGAUAAAUAUGCAAGAGCCAGUUCCUAUACAAAACUAUGUUUGCCUUAGUUCCAUUUUUGUUAUAGCUUUCCCUUAUCCAGUUAACCUUACCUUAUUACAAAUUGACUCAGAUGCCCUCAUAAAGGUGCAACUACUGUUGCUGAGGUGUGUACAGUACCAAUGUUUUUAGGGGUACUUUUGCAAAAACUUUUAAGGGUAUACAUGCAUUAGAAAGAAACAUUUCUUUUUUUCACUUUCCCUAUUUCACUUAACACCUUGCAUGCCUACGUUGCUGGCAGCUAGUUUUUUAUGCAUGAAAAUUUGACACUGCUACUCUGUUUCACUAAUUCUUCAUUUAACUUGUGAGUAUAAUCCAAUCCUCGCUUAGAGGAUACACUGACAAUGACACUCUUUAACUAGCUCUUUAUGCUAGAUUUACUUGUCUAACUCUAGAUGCUAAUCAGUUCAUCUAGUUCUAAUGUCGCACAUUUUACAAGCUCAUUGACUUUGUUUAACAUUUACAACACUGGGUGCCACUCAUGCAAUCUAUUCACAAUGUAUUUGUCACUAUUUAAUAGUCCAGUACAAGUUCAUACAUCUAUAGGGUUCUAUAUUUACUAGUCACUGUUCACAAGUAAUUGUACUGUCUAGUAUACAAUUAGACCACAUGUCAUAAUUAACCACACAUCAAGCUCGACCCUAUAAUGCAUGAAUUUUAACUAAACAUAUACAAUCCAUGUAUGAUCAAGAACAACGACAUAAACAUAGAAGGUCAUUCGAUGACUUCGAAAAGCACCACGCACCUGUAGGGAUGCCGAAACGAUAAAACCAAUAUCUCGGAGCUCACAAGUAUUAAGUCCUCGUGACUCGAUGCGAAUAAAGCUAGAACGACGUCUAUCGUAAUUAGCGCGUCGUAGAUCCAUUAGAAUGUCAAUUUGAACUUCCGAGCGCGUCCACUUUUCCUUCAUAGAGGAAUAAAAGGGAUUAAACUUAAGUCACAUUCACAUUUUUACAAACUUUGCAUUUCAACCCCAACUUGUAUUAUGUAUAUACUAUCAACAAAUACAUAUACACAGUCUUACUAUUAAGUUCUCUAUGGUAGCUUAGAGUUUUAGAAACUAAAAUAAUUUAUAAUUCAACCUCUUUAGAUAGGGAUUAUCAUCAUCUUAACUCAGAAUUUAAAGCUACUUUAAUCCCAAUUUCCUCUUUACUAAUUAUUCCUAGGUAUAUACAUAUUCAAACUAGGAGUUCAUCAAUGCAGUUUUGAGUUUCCAUUAGCUCAAAUACCCAUAGAACUCCUAAUUAACAUCUCUCUCUGUUACAAUUAACUAAACCUCAGUCGAUACUUAGUCAUAAAUAUCUUAAUUUGUUGCUCAACUAGCUUGUUUUCAGCUCCAACAACCAUCAAUUUCAAUGCUGAAAUCUGCUCUACUACUUCCCUCUUUGCAACCACUACAAGUAUAGAAUAAUUAGUUCUAUUGUCUAUAACUCUUCUAGAGUAACUAAUACCCAUUAACCCAGUAAAUCGCAUUAAUUUCACCUGAGUUCAAAACUCCACUAGGUUCUCUUUCAGCUCGGAACACCAAAGAAGUUCCAACAAGGCAGCAACUUCAGCACUUCUCUUUUUUCCGCUCAAUUACCAAACUGCACUUCAAUUUCUCCUUCACAGCCCCUAUGCAGGUCUAAAGUAAGUAAUCUUAAUACUUACAACUCACUGAAACCAGAGAAGAAACACCGACCUACCUGAUUCGAAGCUCCCUUAACUCCCCUUUCAAUUUCGGGCGCCCAUAAAUCCAUCCAGGCAAUAGCUUCACAAUUCCUAUUUGUUCUCAGCUUCUAUUUGAAUUUCCUGCAUACACACACUAAUUUUAAUCACUUAGAAGCUUCUCUUAGACAAUUGUAAUUGUUCUAGCUGAGAAGUAGCCAUCUACCUCAAGCUCCAAGCUUCCUCAACUGAGUCUUCACCUCGGCAGCCCCAAUCAGCCCGAAAUCCAAGUCUGCCAACAUCACUUUAGAAAUCAUCUUCAUAGUCACUAAUACUCCUCAACCAGGAAUUAGGCAUCAAGCUUACCUGGAUUUGAAACUUCCCCAAGGGUUUCUUCAGCUCCACAAGCCUUCCUUUCAGCUCUACAGGGUUUCUUCUUAGCUCAAACAGCAAGAAAAACUCAGCUCUAUAAGCUUCUCUUCACUAUUCUGCUCCUAUGGCUGAGAGGGAAAGAGAGGAGAUAGAUGAGAAAGGAGCUUUUGGAGGAAGGUCCUGGUACGUGGACACAUUCCAGGGAGCUGGGGUUAAAUGAUAAGGAUAAAUAAUUGCACUUUAACCCUUCAAAUCAGCAAAAGUGCAUUACAAUCCUGCAGUUUACAAUUCAGUCUAUGCAGGUUUACAAAUCAGUCUCUAGACUAAGAGCAGCCUGGCAGCAGCAAUUGCAGCCCUUUUUACGCAUCUAGUUCACUCCGAGUUCAUUCAAACACUUCCAAAACAUACUAAACACUAUGCCGAAGCUACCAAUUAAGCUCGGGAAUAAACCAAUUUUAUUUUCGCAUUAUCUUGAUCACUUUGAUCAAGAUUAGCACUGUAAUUUGGAAACUCGACAUAUUACAAUUCCGAACAUCUCUAAACACCUUCCAAACUCAUGAUUAACCAUCCCGAAGCCUUCAAUUUAAUUCUAGAAUACCACAAUUUACCUUAUUGUUUCUCUUUGAGCAAUUGAAUUAAAGUUAGCAUCGUAAUCCGAAAUUUUUCGUAUAUUACACCAACCCUAUCCAAACCUCAGGAACACUACAUCAUAGUUUCUUUAUCGUUUUAUUGAUGAUGAGGAUGUUAUGAAACAAUUAAUAUUUUGGUUUCGCUUAAUACUCUUGGCUCAUAAAUAAAUGAAAUAACUUUUUUGGAUAUGAAUGUGUCAUGUUUGUACUAUAUCUUAUGUACAACUACUAUCUAUAGCUAGUAGCGAAGAAGUAUUAUCAUAUUGAAAACUUAGUAAAUAGUGGCUUUGGAGAGUCAAUAUAUUUGAAUCAAUAGUAACUUUAUCAAAAGUCAUAGUAUAUACAUACUAGCAGCUUUUUAAAAAGUUACAAUAUAAACUUAUUAUUAGCUUCCAAAAAGUUACAAAUAAUUUUACUAACAAUAUCAAAAAGUUACAACAUAGUUUUACUAACAACAUAAAAAGCUACAACAACUAUAACAUUGUAUCAUAAGCAAUGCCGUUAUAGGUAAUUAAAGGUGACUUACCUACUGCCAUAGCUCUAAAAAGCUACAGAAAUUAUAGCAUUAUGGCAUUGUAAAAAGGUACUAUAGAUAAAUAAAGGCGGAUAAACGAGUGCCACAGAUUUAAAAAAGAUAUAAAAACUACAACAUUAUGGCUUACAAAAAGCCAUUGGCACUACAAUGCGGCUUUCUAGGGUACGUGCCGCAAUAUUGACACAUACCUAUAACGACUCAACUUUCACCGGCUAUUUUUUGUUGCUUUUCCUAAUGUACCAGUACUUAUUUUUGCACCUUUUCAAAAAGCCGCCAUUGGUACCCAUAAAAGCCGGCUUUAAUAUAAAAUGUUGUUGUGAGGGUUUGAAUUACGAAGUAGUGUUGAAACAAAUAUUAGCUCAUGAGGAGAAGUGAUUAUGGAACAAGACGAUCACAAAGAGCAUGAGAUGACUUGGGAACUUAAGUCUUUUAUAUGGGAACGGUAAAUAUUUUUAUUCUUGGAGGAUGUAUAAGAAAGUAUAUAAAGAGAAAAUGAUGUAGAACUCAAGAUUCUUUUAAUAUAAUUCUGUAAAUCAAGAGACUACUAUGUAUAAUUAACUUUUCGAAAGCACUAAAAUGUUUUCUUUUUAUAACUCAAUUAUAGUCUUCGAUUAUGAGGGGUUUACAUAUGAAUUUACAUAAGUUCAAGACCGCUAUUAGUGUUCUGAGAGAGAAAAAAAAGAAAUUUUGGUAGCGCUAGGAGCAAUCAGUGCAAUAUUUUAUGUUACUUUUUUGCGAAUUUUUGAAAAUGGAUGGGUACAUUUGCAAGAGUAUUAGAGAGAAAUGUGUGAAGCAAAGUUUAGCUGAUAUUAGAAUUUUCAGUGUAUUUUCGCAGCAUCUUAAACAAAAAAUACUAGAUUUAUGCAAUUUCAAGUAUCGUUAUUGGUCAAUGAUAUUUUAUGCAUAUUUUUUGAAAAAUUUUGAAUAUGGAAGAGCUUGUUUGCAAGUUUACUAAAAGAGAGACCUACAAAGCAACAGUUCAUAAAAAAUAAGGUCCCGUUACAAUUUUUUGAUAACUUAUAUUUAAAGUGUCGUUUUGGUAAAAUAGAAAAAAAAUUUAUCAAAAUUCUAUAUGUGACAUUCUCAUCCCCCUCUCCCUUUUCACCUACAUCAUGCAUGUCCUCACAAUCAUUGCCCAGCCACAUUGCCGCUCCCUACUAUCCCUCAGGCCAGGCUAAAGCCAUCACACACAAAUUUUUCCUUUGAGUGGAACCCCACCAAGUGCAUCCAUCUCUCACUUCUCUUGGUAUUGCCCCAGGCAGAACCAACCUCACCAGCCUUUCCUUGCUGAUAGCAUCCCACGGUGGAGCCAAUUUUCUUGACUGCUUUUCCUAGAGAUCGAGCCUUGCUAAAGUUCAAAUGCGUGAUCCGGGCGGAGCGCACAUAGAUCGAGCCCUUUUCAGCUUCCUUCGUUGUCGCCGGUCUAGCAUGCCAUCUUCCACAUCUGCUUGCUUUGCUUCUUGGUAUCACAAAUCUAACAGUGAGAUGCCAAAUCGAACUAGCUAUUGAGGUUUCUCUUGGUUUUGUUGGCUGCUGAUUUUUGCCUUUAUCAAUACUUUCCUCCUUUUUGGAUAGUCAUGUGACCUUCUCAAUGCCUCCCAUGCACACAUCGGUUCAGAUUUGAUGAUUGACCAAAGAUAAUGACCAUAUAGUCUUUUCGAUUUUCUAAUUUUUGAUGCCCAGGCCCUUAUGAGGGUGAUUUGAAAAUGUCAAAGUCCACCGAAAUGCAGUUUUGUGGGCAUAUUUUCCCAUUACCGAAAUUGGAGAUUGAGAGUUUAGAAGCCCAUUUUUGUGUGCUACUGGCCAUGACGUGCACAAACACUUGUUUGCUAUCCCAACACUCAAAACAAUAUAUUAGGGAUGCAUCAGGGCUGAACGUGAGCGAUGUGCACACUGAAACGGUACUCGAUAAAUUGCAAUCAGAUCUUUUAGGUCAAUUUAUUAUGUGUUCACAACUCAGCUUGUUCUUGAUUGGAACCCUAUUGUAGUUAUUUUGCAAGCAGAUUUAACUCUCAAGGGUGAUUGUGGAGUUAUGUGCUAGUGUGGUGCCAAAAACAUCACUGUCAGGACCUAUCAAGGCGAUAAACUAUCAUUUCAACGCAUUGUUGAACUUCGAAACUUGUGCAUGAUGUUCUGGAAGGCCCUUAUUGAUUGGAACUAGCAACAAGGGCAUGAGUAACCUUCAUUGGUUCCUACACUAAAAGCGGCAUAUGCUGAAAUUGUUGUGACCUAAUUUGGCAACUGCCAAACCCUUUAUCACACAACUAGUGUGCGACUAUCACGACACUGAAAAUGGUGCAUUUCAGGAUAGCGUAGAGUGUAAGGAUGAUGUUUCAGGGCCAGUUGGCUACCAAGAGGAUGCCUUGCCGUUGGGUGUUGGUUCCAAAAGUUGCUUGGUAGAAAUUGACUUUCAAGUAUGUAGAGUUUGGUCGAUAGCAGCUUAGCGGUUGAUUAUGGACACAUUCAUGUUUUGUAUAGGUCCAAGUGACGCUUAGUGCGCGUAGCGACUGUUUUGUGGACAUUGACCCACUUCAGAUGAGGUGGGUGCUUCAAUUCGGAUAUCGGUAUAGUGGUAUUCGGCUAGGUUUACUUUUCUUAGUGUGCGUAGUGACUGUUUUGUAGUGUUCCAGAGGUUUGGAUAGGAUUGGCUACAGUACUAGUGACUGGUCGACACAUCUGGAGAGUGUCGGACUGAGUCGUAGUCGUUUCUGCACGAAAUAGAUGCAAAAAUAGACUCGGCAUACUCAAAUAAGCAAAACUGAAGUUUUGCCAGAUUCGGACACCCAGAACUGGAUUUGGAUUGCCCAGAACUUGAGUGCUGGUUUGAACUGAACUGGAAGCUAAUUCGGAUCUUGGUUUCGGGCGGCCGUUUGUGGGUCUGAAAGUUCACCUCGUGAAUAUCGUUUGAGCUGACGUAUGGCUGCUGGUAGGUGAGGUCCGCCGGACCAGGAUAUGGGUGCAGCAGACCGCAGGCGAAGGAACCGACGAGGAGGAUUGGUGUAGCCUGGAGGUUUCGAAUGCCCAGAAAGGGGUUUUGGGCACCCGAAAGUGCGCGUUCCUGUAGGUGUAGCAAGUUUGUAGUGUUUGUUCAUGGGGCUUAUUUUAUCCUUCCAGCUCACUAUAAAUAGCUGGAGUUCGACCCCAGUGAACUCUUUUCAUCCUCUCUUCACAGUGAAGGCUUAGAUUGCAUCCAAACUCCUCAAAUUACUCCAAUUUCUCCAAAUUCCACAAAUUGAAGCUUGGGGACUGCAGUUCUAGUAGAAUUCCAGUAGCGACCUCCGGCAUUUUGGCUCGUGUGCAGCGUAGGAAGCUCCGUUUUCCACAAAACUUGGUUUGGUGGAUUCAGGACUUCAAGAGAAAUUCGCAGAACCCAUUUUGACAGAUUUUGGUUGAGGUUAGCUUGGUCGAUUUUGAGUUUUACUCUGCUGUUGGUGAUUUUGGGCUGAUUUGAGUUGUUUUGGUGUUCUUGAUGCAAUCUAUAGAGAAAGCCAGGUUUUUGGAUCAGAGGGUGAUUCUCCAUCAUAGUUUACUGGAUUUGGAAGCUUCCUCACCUGAAUUGAAGAUUGUUAGGUGAGUUUUGACGUUGGAGCAGUAAAAAAAUUAAGCUUAAGUGCUGAAUUUUAGUAGAUUGAUAGAUUUUGGUGAUUUUUGGUGUUUAGAUCUUUGAAGUGGUUUGUUGCUGGUUUAGAGUGUAUUCAGCUGAGGCUCCCAGCAUAUUCGUGACCUUAUUGUUGCCGUGGAGUUGCGCAAGAGGUGGGUUAAAUGUGAUGCUUACCGAAUUCUGCGGAUUUCCUUCUAAGUUGAUAUAGUCGACAUGUAUUCGUCGUUUUGUUUCAUAUUGUAGUUGCUCGAUUCAUUGAUUUAGCAUGAUUAAAAUUUGAAUUGGAGCCUAGUAUGUUAGCUAUAUAUAUACAUGUAGGACUUGGAUAUGACUUAGGAGAAAACCAGCGAUUCUACACCGUUAUAUGCUUAAAUUAUCAGAUUUAGCUCUAGGAGCUGUAGUUUGAUUGUAUCACCGCAGUUUGUGGGCAGUGGAUACCUAGGAUAGUGUAGAAUGUAAUUACGCUCGUGCUGGGAUGCCGAGCUUAUUUUUAUAGCAGUAUUAGGCUGUUCCGGACUGUCGGGUGCCGUUGAGGUUGACGGUGGACCCAGAUUGCUGUUUUUGCAUCAGAUUGUGCCGAGGGCACGUGAGUUUGGUUGUUAGACCAGUUAGACCCUGUUUACUUGGAUCUUAGCCUGUGAGAGCCUGAUUGAGCUCGACAGAGAUACGCUUGCAUACUCGGUUGGGUAGUGCCUACGAGUGCCACUCCGGAGUCUGGCUUUGUGCGUUUGCGUUGGUGUCGUUGUGUCCUGGUUAGACUUGCUCUCCACGGACUGUUUAGUGUUGAGGUAGCUGUAUAGCUUCAACAGGCGGGACGGGUGUGCUCACAGUCCCUGGGACGGGUAUGUUUACAGUCCCUAGUGAGUUUGGGUUAGAUUGUUUUAUUCUACAGAUAGUAGUGUCGAAUCAUGAUAGUAUAGUGGCAUGUAGCUGUAGAUUGUUUUCAGUUUUCUUGUUAUCAUUUGAGCAUACAUCUGUAGACUUAGUGGGCGAGCUAUUAGGACUAUUUUUUUUUCAGUAGUUCUCACGCCCAGUUGUUGGAAUCUUUUGCAGAGCCUUCUUCUUCGGCUGUUGCUACUGCUGAUUCAGACCGCAGAAAGGGAGUCGCGAGUUAGAUCCCUUCCCAGUUGCUGCUGAUCUAGAGUAUAUCAACUACAGGUAGUGGUAGUUUUGAGUUCUUAUAUAUACUUGUUGUAUCUCGCUGGAGCGAGCGUUUUGUACACCUGGAUGUUAUGUAUGUAUAGUGAACUUCUGUUUUCAUUUAUGUUUUGUUCCUUUCUAGUAGCUCUAUACUACUGGUUGUAGUAUUGUAUGAUUGCAGGUACAUGUACAGCUUCGCUUCGUAUACAGGGGAAAUUUCUUUGUACACGGCAGAUCUGUUAGCGUGCCCGGGGAAACAAGGAAUCCGGGGCGUGACAUGUUUUGUGGACAUUGACCCACUUCAGAUGGGGUGGGUGAUUCAAUUAAUUCAGAUAUCAGUAUAUUGGUAUUCGGCUAGGUUUACUUUUUCUACACUGAUAUUGAUAUUCCUACCUUAUUAUACUUUCUAUACCAUACUCUCUAUUAUAUCAUGCUUUCGUGUUAUACCUACUCAUGAGAUAAGCUUGCUUGGUACCAUCCUUACCCGGUUACUCAAUUUCUUGUUAAUGCAUGACUUGUAGAGUACUAUUGCUUAGGCUACUGGAUAUAGUUAAGUCUUAUUGGCUAUACUGCUAUCCCUGUCGGGAGUUUCUCAAUUUUUUACCAAAUGCUAGUCGUUGGACCGUGUUAUGACUUGAGCAUUAUGUAUCAAGACUGUCAUGCAUUUGCUACAUAUUUCACUUGCACCAAUUGAUUGGCUCACGCAAUAGUGUUUUUUACUAGUAGAAUAAUCUAUUAACUAUACUAUUUGACACCUCCUACAAAUGCCACGUGGCAUACCUCCCUAUUCUCCAUUCCACGUGGCGACCAACCCUCUCACCCCCACCUCUACAGAGCCUUUCUCUUUUCUCAACUCACAUCCAGUUGGCAUUCUCUCUCUUCAACUACUGCACUCUCUCUUUUCCCUCCUACAGAUAAUCUCUCUCUAUCUCUUCCUCUCUCUCUCCUCUCCUCUCUCUCUUCCUCUCUUAAGAUGGGCCCAUCUCUCUUUCCAGCUGGCCUGCUUUUUCUCUUUCUCCUCCUUUCCCUUUCUCUCUCUCUCUCUCUCUCUCUCUCUCUCUCUCUCUCCUCCUCUCCUCUCUAUAUCUUAGCCUCCCCUCUCUCUUCUCUCUUCUCACAGGGUGCCUGGGCAGCAACAGCAGUGGCAAUGGCUUGGGCGGCAACAACGGCGGCUGCGGCGGCAGUUUGAGCGGCAUCAACGGCGGUCGCCUCGCCUCGACCUCAUCUCGCCAUCAAAGGAUCUUAGAGCUUUUUAAAAUUACUGUGAAUAUCUCAUAUACCCUCAAAAAAAAUUAAAUUAAAAAAAUUUAAAAAAAAAUGACUUCUGCACCUCGACCUCAUCUCGCCAUUGAGGGAUCUUAGAGCUUUUUAAAAUUACUGUGAACAUCUCAUAUACCCUUAAAAAAAUUAAAUUAAAAAAAUAAAAGAAAAUGACUUCUGCAGGAGACGUUGCGGAGGGUGUCGCCGCGGGUUCGGUAGCGGUGGCAGGUCUUGCAGAAAUAACACGACUGCGAGAGGGAGUAGUUGUCGGAGUAGCAGGACUUGGUGUUGGUCGAGUCGCAGCGCGGGCACUUGAGCGCCGGCUUCGGCUACGGAAUCUUCGUGAGACGGGCGCGGUCCGCCAUCGAGCCAGGCCAGGCAGGGCCGCCGGCCGAAGCUGCCAUACUUGGGGCCUCAGGGCGCGGCGCAGCCUGCGGACCCGGUGGGAGCGGAACUGAAGAAAAAACCAUAGUGUUUUUCUUUUCUUUUUUCCCCUUAGCUUCUUCCUCUUUCUGAUUAGAUUCUUUCACAGGGUUAUGGUGGAGAGAUGGUGGAGAAUCACAUCCAUAAGCAGUUCCUUUGCGAGAGAUAGAGAGAGAGAGGAAGGAGAGUGAAGAGAAAAGGAGGAUUCCUUCUUUUUUUAUUCUAUUUAAAAAAGCAGUUCUUUUUUUAUUCUAUUUAAAAGUUUUGUAAUUAAGUAGGAGCUCACCAUUAGGUAGAGGGCUGAGAGGCACCCGGCGGCGUCACGUGUAGCGUCGCGGACUGAGGAGUCUGAGGGGGGGUCUCUAACGCGCUUGACGAGGUGGGCGACGAUCCUGGGGAUGUGUUUGGUGGCGGCGCCAGGGUGGGUGGCGCAGAGGGCGGCGAGGAGGCGGAGGGAUUCGCGGCGCGCGGCGGCGGAGGGGAGCGGCGCGGAGAGGUCGUGGGCGAGGUCGGCGACGAGCAUGGGCACGCCCUCGGGGCUUCACAACUUAUCUGUUUUUUUUUUUAAUUUCUGAUAUUAUGUUUUUUUUUAUUAUUAUUAUUUACUCAAUAGAAAGUUCAAAAUAUCUUUUUUUAUAAUAAAAAAUAUUAUUAUCUAUGUAAACUUCUGAUUUUUUUUUACUUUAAUUUUUAUUCUCUUUUUCACAAUUUUUCUAGAGCAUAUGACCCAUUUUUACUUUAUUUAAUUAUAAUUUUUCUUAGCCAUAAUGUAAAAAUAUAAUAUCUAGGUGAAUCUCUUUUUGUUAAAUAGAAAAUAAUCACAUUCUCCACAACUUUUUCUGUGACAUGUAUUCUUUUUUUUUUAUCUUGGUAAAAAAAAAAAAAAAAAACACAACAUUUAGAUAAACCUUUUUUUUGUUUACUUUUUUUUAACUAUAAAUUUUUUUGUUUUAUAUUUCUACUUAACUGUUUCAUUAUAAUUGUACUUAACUAUGAUAUAAAAUUAAUCGUUAACCGUAGCAAAGCGCGGGUUCUGUACUAGUAUGAUUGAUCCAUGAGUGCUCCGCUAUACCAUAUGGCAUGGAGUUAUAUGUCAAUUAUGUUAGAUGACUUGCUAUAUAGCAUGAGCCUAAGGUCUCCGAAACGUACCAAAAGUGAUACGAUUGGGUUAUUAUUAGACUGGAACUUACAUUGAUGUAUUUUUCUAUCAGUAGUGAUACUUUAUGAUGCAGCUUGUAUUUCCAGUCCAUUAUGGUUAUACUUAUGCUUCACUAACUCUGUUUAUAGCUUUUAUUUCAUUAUCACACAUAUUUGUAUCAUCUUAUUUGCUCCUUGUAGACUAGUUGGUAUAAUUUGUUGGUCGCCGGCACAUUGUGCCAACGGAGAUACAUUUCAGAAGUAUCUCACAUCCUAUUUUUAUAGGUAGGAUGUUGAAAAAUGGGAUGCUGCGUGAGGACGCUAGUAAUUAACUAGACCUACAGCUCCCUAAAAUCAACUACUAGAUAGAUGUGGACAUUAUCGUGCUUUAUUUACAGUCUAUCACUUAUUGUCAUGCACAGUUAAAUAACUUGUGCUUGACAUUGGUCAUUUAACAACGUUACUUGUAUUUAUCUUUAUGCAUCGUUUGAUGAUUGAUAUAUGUAAUUUGUGGUGGUGUUCUUGUUGAAUUUACAUUUGAUCGUGAUUUCGAGAUAUUUUAUAAAAAUGAAGAUUUGAGGGUAUUUGUAUUCUGGUUGCAAAGAUAGGAGGAUAUGUUUGAUGCAUUGCAGAGACAUGAGGGAUUUAUGCUUGUUGGCUUAUGGAGGAAAAUCAUCACAAUUAUUUUAAGAUAUAUAGUUUAAUGUGAGUCAUGACUGCUGUUUGCCUGAUUAGCUAAAUGCUAUAUCUUCGUCCUGUGGUAAAUGAAUAACUAAAUGUGUUUGAUUGUGUAAUACUUUAUAUAGUUGCUCUAUACUUAACACUAUGUAUGUAUAGAGAAAACUUUGCCUGUACGAUGGAAAAACCUUAUGCAGGUGGGACUAUGUAUGUUCUGGACUAUUUUUUAUUUUGUAUUUCAGAAAUCAUGGAAUGACUCCUCAUGUACUAUGAUGUCAUCAAAAAGAAAAAAGUAGCUCUUUUUUUAAAAAAAACUAUCUUUCAAACUAGACCCGGGCGUGACAGUUUUACAUCGAAUGACAAAAAAAUUAUUAUUAGAUACAUAAGGAUCAAUAACUCUAUUACUAGUAGCUUAGUAUAAAUAUUUUGGACUAGUUGUUUGAGCCCAAUAAAUUAUUAAUGCUAAUCAACUGAAUCGUUACAUUUGGUAUCAUAGCUGAUUGGCCAGCUGAAGGAGUCGGAUGGGUCUUACAUCUUCUAGUACUCAUAAUUAAAGAAUGCUAAAGGAAUUGAAUCAUCGAGAUCUAAACCGGCGAUCUGUGAAUUCUCAAUAGUCCCACAUUGAAUAAAAAAGAAUUAUAAUUGAGUAUAUAUUUUGUGCCGAUAGUUUAGGUCUAAAAAAUUAUUAGUGAUAGUGGAUUGAGUUGUUAUAAAAUCGAUUUGAGCUUGGUUUGGAGACCGCCGAGCCGUGACCAAAAUCGGGUCCUGCUUGAGUUACAGAAGUUUGUUUCAUGGCCCACAAAUGGGCCCGAUUGGCGCCCUUGGGAUUUCAGAUUUGAGAACGAUAGGCGCGCUCGGACGGUAGAGAAUUAGUAGUACUAAAUGAAAAGUUAUUGCAUUGUGUACGGUUGACCAAAUUCUUAAAACUCGCGUGACAUAAUCAUUGGGUUAAUUUUAUACAGCUCCCUAUAAAUAAAUCGAGUAGCAGAUAAAUUUCUAUGAAGUUUAAAUUUUUUAUAUUUAUCCCUACAACAGUCCAGUGAUAGUCAUAUUUAUCUCUCUAGUUUGUUACCGCUAGAAUACUGUUUAUUUUUUUAACAAAAAAUAAAUAAAAUAUUAUUUUUGCCAUCACAAAUAUGUCCUCUAAAAGCCCCGACUAUUAAAACUAUACAAAAAUAUCCUCUCAAAAAAAUUUCAAAUCUCCAACGGUCAUCUUCUUUCUUUCUACCGUCACAAAUAAUAUAAGAGAGAUAAAAAUAAUGAUUUAUCUUAUUCAUUAACUAGGAUUUAGUAUUUUAUCUAUGAUUAACUAUAUUUUUCUAACAGAUUCUAACAGUAUGGGUAUAUUUAAAAAUGUUAGAAUUUUUAUAGAGAUAAAUAUAAAAAGUUAAACUUUGUAAGAAUAUAUCUGCUAUUUGAUAUGUUUACAAAGAAAGCCGUAUGUAAUUAAUCCAUUUUUUUUUCUAUACUGUUGAUUUUUGUAACCUAAUACCUAAACAAAGUCAGCAGCACAAGCUCUUUUGUGAAAGAAUAAAUUGCCCAAGCUCUCCGCCUCAAGGACGACCAUAUGAAUAAUCAAAUUGAAUUUAUAAAUAUCUGAUCAUAUAAUUGAAGUUUUUAUUAUAGUAUAAUAUAAGUGUGCAACUUUAAUGAAGUGGUGGACCGGAUCUUUAUUUGUGUAUCUCCUCUUGCCUACGGCCUACCCAAGUAUAAAGUACACAUCUUAAUGCAAAAAUAUUUAAUAUUUAAUUAUUAAUAAAAAUAGAAUUAAUUCAAAAAUAUAAUUCAUAGUAUUUAAGAGGCAUUAUAUAAAAAAAUUAAUACAAAUUUUAAAAUUACAUAAUUUAGGCAUCAAAUUAUUCUCAAAAUCACCUAUAUAAAUAAUCUAAUUUGAUUUACAAUAAGUAAAUAUCUAAAAUAUAUAACUUUCCGAGUAUACAAAUUUAUACAUAUUAGAAAAAUAAUUUAAUAACUUUAAGUACUGAUUUUAAAGCCAACUAUAAUAAUAGACUUAAAUACAGAAACCUCCUUAUAAAUAUUUACUUUUUUAUUUUUUCUUCCUGACUUUUCAAAACUUACAUUUUGCUCCUCUACAAUUUCAAAAAUAUUUUCAGAAAGGUAUAACAUUAAUGAAAAGAGCAAAAUGACAAAAUUACCGAUACUUAUUUUAUAAUAACAAAAUAUUUUUUUAAUAUAUUUCUGCCUCCAUAUAAAUUAUAGUGGACAGAUUAGUGAAGGAGCCUUAAUGAAGGCGAGUUAAAUGCAAAAAUUUGAAAUGUUAAAGAGAUAAAAUGUAGGUUUUUAAAAGUUAAGGAGUGAAAAUAAAAAAAAAUGAUAUUUAUAAGAAAAUUUUCUGUAAUUUAGCCAAUAAUAAUAACUUAAAAAUGAUGGAAAUUUUGGAGCCUAAAGGGCCAUUUGGUUGCAUGCAGUUGCAACUGCACUGCAGUUGUAAUCAUAUGCAAAUGCAAAUUCAGUGUUUGAUUUGAUAUAUUUAACUCUAAUUGCUGCAAUAGAAACUGCAAGAGGAGGCCUAACUGCAGCAAUUGGAACUACUCCCAAAUUGGCCGCAGUUCGAACUGUAGCAAUUGAAGAGAGUAACUUUAAACAAAAGGUAUACUUACCUCAAAAAACAUAUAUAUUUUUUAAUUGGAGGUAAUUUUACCAUUGUAUAUACAAAAUGAUAAAAUUUUAAAAAUUAUUUCUCAACUAUAUGCAAACAAAUAAAUUAUUUAUAGUUAUAGUAUUUUCUACUACAUCCAACCAAAUAAGAUGUAUAUAGUUACAAUUGUUGCAUUUUAAUUAUAUGCAUCUCCAACUACAUUUGUAAUAACAUCUAACCAAACGGAUCGACCGUCUCUAGUGCAAGUAGCAAAGGGCUUGAUAGUUAAUACUCGAAGUUUCGAGUUCAAAUUCUAGUUGAAGUAUAUUUUCAACUAAGUUUAUUUCUAAAUAAAAUAAACUAAGCGGGUAGUACGCUGCCAUCUGUCUCUCAAAAAAUAAAAAAAUAUUUAACCAAACGGCUUCUAAGUGCAUGGUGCACUUGGUGCACGCAAUAAGAAUUUUCGUUCUAACCCACUCGUCCCUAUAUUUCCUCGCGGCUGUCUGUCCCAGUCGGUUGUCUGAGAAAGUAUAGGCUGACCGAAACAGUAAAGAGAGUAGAAACUUUAGAGAGAGAGAGAGAGAGAGAGUGUGUGUUGUGUUGUGUGUAUCCGAAAGAAGUGUAGAGAGAGAGAGAGAGAGAGAGAGAGAGAGACGGAAGAAGCGACGCGGAGCGAGCGGAGGAGAGGAGGGGGGCGUUAAGAGUGAUGGUGUUCAAGGGCCGCUUCUUCUCCUCCUCCCGCAAAUCCGACUCGUCGAGCGCCGACGGAUCCAACAGCCCUAAAACCCCCUCCGUCGGAUCCCCUGCCUCGUCUUCCUCCUCCAGAUCUGACAAGAAGAAGCACCACCAUAAAUCCGAACCCUCCAUUUCCACCUCCGCCUCCCAUAAGAAGGAGAAAGAGAGGGACAAGGACUCCAAGGGCAAGGAUCUCGCCUCCGCCUCCAAACCCUCCCCAUCCUCCUCCUCCUCCCCCGCCGCCGCCGCCGCCGCCGCCGGGCCCGAGAACAAGAGCAAGAACUUGAGCAGCCUGAAGGAGGCAGAGGAGUUCCGGGCGCGGUUCCGCCNNNNNNNNNNNNNNNNNNNNNNNNNNNNNNNNNNNNNNNNNNNNNNNNNNNNNNNNNNNNNNNNNNNNNNNNNNNNNNNNNNNNNNNNNNNNNNNNNNNNGCAAAUAUUUGAUGCAUGCAAAGAAAUAAUUAAAGAAAUUAGGCACAUCAGUAACAAUCUCCACUCAAGCGAACACAAAAGCACCUAACGAAAUAUAUAUUUAUAUAUAUAAAUUGAUUUGCAAACACGCACUAAAUUUCCUUUUGCCCAAAACACCAGGGCAACAGCAAGUCGGAUCAUCCCACAAGCGAAACAAUACCAAGCAACAACACGCAAAAUUGAAUCUUUUUGCGCGAAAAGAAGAAUAAACCAAGCAAGAUAGCAUGAACAAAGCAAGAACACACGAAUCGCCGCAUCCAAGGGCUCACGGAGACGUACCACUUCCACAGAUCGCUUCCUCUUGAGCUUCAUCUCGAAAUUCGCAUUGCCCGGGCGAAAGCUCAACGCAAGAACCGCGGAGCGGAGUAGGGUUUCUCCGAUAUCGGAACGAUAUCAGGAGAAAAUUGGUAUACACAUAUAAUCAGUAGAGAGGGAGCGCCUGGGAGAGGGGAAACCCUAGAUAACGCCCCAACCACGGCGCUACCUCGUCUUUGUCCUCGUAGUCUUCUUCCUCGCGAGAAAGCGAGUGAGCGAGACAGAAAGAGGGGAGAGAUCAGGAGAGGCCGCAAGGGCAAGAGAGAGAGAGAGAGAGAGAGAGAGAGAGUUUGUUGAGGGUUUCGUCGAGCGGUCGGUGUGGAGGGGGGAGCGGGGCGGUGAUCGGUUUAGGAAUUAGAGGAGAGUGGCGGAGAGCCUGAGAGAGAGAGAGAGAGAGAGAGAGAAACGGGAUGUUAGAUGCAAUACUACAAAACGAGAGCAAAUGUGAUUUGUAUAAUAUCUUUACAUGACAUGAGUGUAUGAUAUACACCUUUAAUCCAAGAAUUAAUAAAGCCUUUGGAGUUUUUAUUUAUUUAUUUUUUUUUCACAAGAGCAAAUGCUACCUAUACAUCUCAUUUGAAAUAUAUAUUAAACAUCAAUCAUAUCAAGUGACUAGUGAAAGCACCCUACCCAUCGGAUGGGUGGGGUGUAACUUGUACACCCACAAUGAGAUGUACAAAUAGCAUUUUCCUUUUCACAGGAGGUGCAUACACGCCCUUAAUCCAAGGGUUGAUAAAGCUUUUAUAGAUUUAGUAUAAAGAAUUAUGUUGUAUUUAGUUGGCCAUAAGAUAUAUAAAAAUUACUUUUCGAUUGAAAAUUUUAUUUUUUUUCUGUGUUUGUUUAGCUGUAAAAGUUUUUUUCAAAAAACUAUUUUUACAGAUUUAAAAAAAUAAAGUAUUUUCAUUUUUCGCUGAAAAUCGCUAGAAAAAAAAACUCAAGCUGCAUACAAUUUUUUUUAUUGAUUUUUUUCCACCAGAACCAAACAAAUGUGAUUUGUUUUCUUUCACCUAAAUAAAUGCUAAUGAAAAACUUAUGUUUUUCUACAAAUCAAACACUAUAAAACAUGAAACAUUUUUUUACCAUUUUUUUUCAUGGAAAGCUACUUUUUACGGUUUUUUGUACAACCAAAUACCCCUUUAGUUACACCCUAAAAUCAUGUACUUUUAUUAUUUUUAUUAAGUUACCAUUAUUUUAUUAUAUUUCAGAUUUAUUUUUAUUUUCUAUUUUAUACUAAAUUUUUUUAUCAUAUUGUCAUGUUCUUGGAUUUAGGUUUUCUGUUUAAAAAAGAGUGGCUGAUUUUUUUUUUAAAAAAAAUCAUCAGAAUUACGCAAUAGACAACCAAAGAAGUUUGAAAUAUAACAAACGAUUUGGAACGUGCACAAACCAGCCACAUGUCUAGAGUUUUUCUAUCCACACGAACAGAGUCUCUCCUAUACACGCAUGACAUUGAGCAUAAGAACAUUUCAAUCAAACAAUCAAGUUGUAUUUAAGAAGCGAUAUUUUGAUUCGUAAUAUAACAGAUCAGUCAUACAAACAUGACUCCCACUAAAAAUAUAAAAUAGUAUAGUGAUAUCAUAUCCCUCCAAAUAUUGCCAACACAAAUCUCUCCAUAUUUGCGCAAAACAAUAAAUAUAACCUCGCAUAUCUCCGCAAAUAAAAUACAAAAAUCAAAAUUUUGAAGGCCACAAACGAAAGACCAAGUGUUGGCGCCGAAAAAUAGUGCCACAUGGUAAGCAGCGCGUUCCAAGCAAUUAAACAAUGGGAACAAAAUAAAAGGUGACACGUGGUACACUAGAAGUCGAGGAAAAGUACGCCUAAAUAGAAGAGCAGUUUAGAUAGGAACGGUUAGAGACAUAGAGGGAGAUUUUCAUAGCUAGUAAGUUAUCAAUUGAAGCACAUCCCGAGGAAAUAGGAACGUGACCGUAGAAACCUUUAUGAUAAGAAUCACCCAAUAACUUCAGGCAGAAAAAUAUGCUACUAUAAAUAGCAAAAAGCGCGCCUGUGAUGGGGAUCCUUCACACAAGCAAGCGAUCACGACAAAUUUCAAUUCCUUUACAAUUUCUAGUAUUUAUGAUUUUCUAGGAGUAGUCCACAGAUAUUUUUUUUUUCUAUUUUUUAAGAGUUUAGUUAAGUUUAUGAGCUUUUCUAAAAGUAUAUUUAGACUUUAUAACAGCUUUUGUAAUCCUCCCUUUUCAAUUAAUAUAAAUAGCUAGACUUACCGACCGUCCCUAAAGCAAGUGGCAAAGGGCUUGGUGGUUGGUACCCGAGACCCAAGUUCGAAUCCUGGUUGAUUCACAUUUUCAGCUAAGUUUAUUUCUAAAUGAAAUAAACGAAGCGGGUAGCGUGCUACCUAUCUCUCAAAAAAAUAAAUAAAUAGCUCGACUCUUUCAGCUAAACUCGCUUUUCAGCUCAUUUGCGAAUUCUUAGCAGAAGAGCCCGGUUGAGCCGAUUCACGCUUUGCGGACAUGUCUGACUUGGUCAACUCAUUGAUCCAGUCAGUGUUGCCCCACGCAUUCGGUUUCUAGCCCAACAAUUUUUGACACGCCUGGUAGGACCUGCUCAGGUAAAUCUAAACAUCUCUCAAAUUGUUGAUGAUAACACAAUGAACCUUUGAAAUAGGGUCAUUCCUAAAUCCUCAGGUAGCGUUAAGUUUGGGAAUAAAGGGGGCAAUAAGCCCUUAUUCCCCGCUUUGUUCCCAAACACUGCGUUUGGUACCCGAGAACAGUAGUUCUCCGGUUUCUCGAAUAAGCCGGUAUAAGGCUAGAACUGCUGUUCUACCUUUUCCCUGGAACAAGCUUGUUCCUAAGUGAGAAUAAGGUUAAUUAAAGUCUAAAAAUAAUUUUAAUAUGGUAUUAAAUAAUUAAUUAAUUUAAUUAAUAUAUUUAAAUUAUUAUUUAUUACUUAAAUAAUAAAUUAAUUUAUUAUGUUAUUAUUUAUAAUUAUUAAUUAAACUAUUAUUAUUUAUAAUUAUUAAUAAUUACUUAAUUUAUUUAUUUGUUAAUAAAUAAAUAAAUAAUUAAUUAUUAGUUUAUUAAUUUAUAAUUAACUAAUUUAUCAUUAAUUUAUUCUUAAUUAAAUAAUUUAUUAUUAAUUAUUUAUUUAUUUACUAUUAAUUAAUUAUAAUUAAUUCAUUUAUUUAAUUUAUUAUUGUUUAAAAUUAUUAAUAAUUAUUUAAUUAACUGUUAGUAUUAAUUAAUUAAUUUUUUAUUUAUAAUAUUAAUAAGUUAUUAUUAUAACUAUUAAUAAUUUAUAUUAUUAAAUGCGCAUAUUUGUUAUUAAUUAAUGUUUUAUUCUGUAUAAUUAUUAAUAAAUAAUUAAUUAUAAUUAUAUUAUUAUUUAAUUAAUUUAUUAUUUAUACUAUAUUAUUUAAUUAAUUAUUAUUAAUUAAAUAAUUUAUUUUAUUUUAAUUAAUAAUUAUAAUAAUUUAUUAUUUAAUAUUUUUAUUUAUAUUUUAUUAUUUAAAUAAUUUUUUAUUAAUUAAUUUAUUUAUAUUUUAUAAUUAUUAAUAUUAAUUUAUUAUUAUUAAGUAAUAUUUUGAUGUUAAUUAAUUAGGUAAAAUAAUUUUAAUUUAAAAUUAUAACUCUUAUCCUAUUCCUAGGAACAGCCCAAUUUUCAUCCAAACGCAAAAUUGGUCAAAUUCUUGCUUAUAUCUGAACUUGUACCUAUCCCUGGAAUAAGCAGUUCUUAUUUAUACCCAAACCAAACGCAGUCUCAGGGAUUGAUCAGACAAGUAGCGCCGAAAAUACAAAUGAGCAUCAGGCGGCGCUACCAUCAGAAGGUGAACGUAGUGGAUACUCGGCUCACUAAGAGCCGAGUCUAACUUAGGCACUCGGGCAAAUGACUUGAGUUCUUUAGACUUUGGAUCAGAAUAGCCACUAGAGCACUGCCUAUCUAGAUGCGGUGCUAGCCACCUCAUGACCUCGAAUAAGAACAUCGCUCGCAUCGGGCAACUAUCAACUUGGAACAAGCAACCAUAUGGAAGUGUUUCUAGCAAUCAAUCCGACCAUACCAAUGAAGCAAAAUGCCGUUGCACUGACGAUCUUGCAGGCGCAAACCUAAAUGGCACCUUCUAUGCUGUCUACGGGCUGAUGAAUGUAAACAUCGGCCCACAAUUGGAAGUAGCAUAGGUCUCAACAUACAUUAAUUUAUUUGACGUUGCUAAAACUGAUCAGAUAUUUGAUAGGUUGUAUGAAGACGAGAGGAUUAAACUUCAGGAAGGCCAAAUAUUGCUUUUCGGUGAGGAGUUAAGAAGAAGGAAAUACUACAAGUCACACCAUUCUUGGAGCCGCAAAACUAAUGAUUGCACGGCCUUUAAGAGGAAAAUACAAAGAAAAAUAAAUAAAGGUCGGUUGGUUUUCGUCGACCAAGAAAACAAGAAUGAUUUGAAAAUUGACCAAAAUCCCUUUCCCACACAGGUGAAUAUAAGACAUUAAGGGGAAGAAGCCACUCUAGGACGAUAAGUUCCAAGAGGAUGUAGUUAAGAGAAGGAGAAUGCUUUGGCUCUUCAUUAGAUACAAGGCUGAAAUGACGUGCAAGGAUUGCAAAGCAAUUGUGCAUGAGAAAAAAUACGUUCGGGGAGUGGAAGGAGUUCAUGACUUUCCCUGAAGAGUGCGGGGGACAUACCCAAGGCAAUAGGCGAACCGGGUGAGUGUUCGGAGAACUCUAAUAACUUCGAGGAGGUGAAUUCAGGAAAGGAUCUGCCAAUUCAAAAGGUCUUAAAAAAAUAUUACCAGAUAAGGAAGAAGGCUGGUCGAGAGGAUCAUCCGAAGCGACCUUUCUUUAUACAUCAGAAGAAUUAGGGAUAUCGGCCCAUAUGGUAUCAAUACCCGCGGCCGAGACCCAAACCUAAUUCGAGGGGAUGAUUGAGAAAGAAAUAGGAGCCCUCAAUCGAAGAUUAGUUAAUGAAUCGAGGAUCUAGCCAUAGCCAAGACUACAGAAAAGGUGAGAGAGAUUUUGAGAGAUCACCUCAGAAUAGUGAAGAAGCCGACAAAUGUGUCGAUCAAUCAAUAUUUCACAGCAAGGGCACCAACCAGAUGGUAUGGGGUAGUCUUGAUGAAAAUUCAAAAAUGGCGGCAACAAAAAUUGCAAGUCGAGAUAAGGCAUCACUAGGAGAAGGUGAAGGGAAUCAGGCCGAAUAUAUGAAAAUAACCCAAGCAGCGAUUAUCCUUGCAACCUAUGAAGAACGACAACGAGGCAGGCAGCUCGACUACCCUGCCUUAGUUGAAGUUCCAAAUGGUUCAGUUUGUUGUGGUAGGGCCGACAAAGAAAGUCACUCGUAAGGAGUUAGAAGACAAAAUCGCUUCUUUGGAGACCAUCGUCAAACGAGAGUGGUCACUAGCCAAAGAGAGAAAAAUUAAGCGAGAGAGUCUUCAGUUAAAAUGGCAAAGGAGUCCAAGAAAAAGUAGAGGACUGAGAAAAAUGCAAUCGUAGAAAGUUCAUUUGAUAUGGGCAUGGUGUACACAUUACCCUACUCAUUUUAGCUCGAGACGGAAGAAGCUGAAAAGCAGCUUUAAUAUGAAAGGGAACUAGUCGUGGCCUAGCUCCAACUGGAGGACAUCAAAACGGUCGAUACAGUGGCAUUUGAAAAGCUACAGACCAGGUUCAUAAGGCUUCUAUAUAUCAAGAUCUUAAUAGAGGACGACCGGUUGGCUGAGUGAUGAUAGACGGCGAGGCUAUGGUGAACGUGAUACACACAUAGUUUUGUAAGAAGUUGGGCAAGAACAAGGAUGAUCUCAAGCCUACUGACACAACCAUGACAGACUUCACGAGAAGCGGUCAGCAAGUGUGGGGGGUACUGACAACUGAAUUGACAGUUGAGUCCAAGACUCUCUAAACAGUCUUUUUUGUGGUGGACGCUAGCAGCUACUACAACUUGCUGCUAGGGCAUGAUUGGAUCCACUUCAAUGAGUGCGUACCCUCGACUCUCCCUAAAAAAUUAUUCCAAUGAAUCGGGGAUCACAUUGAGAAAGUCGUUGGCUGAAGGAAGGCCGCAAUUAGUGGAUGUGAACUUGGGCAUAUGUUAUGUGAAUUAGGCCAAAGCCGAUCUAGACCAAAUUUCAUUUGUCCGGGUCACUGAAGAUGGAGUACAACUGAUACUCCAAAGAGAAGCAGAGGUGCUGGCGGCAACUAAAAAGCCGCCGACUUGGUUGAAAUGGAAUAUCAGAAGCCAAGAGUCGAGGCUCUGAAAGAGCUUCGGCCUAAAGUGCCGGCCAAAGGGGCAGGCAGUAGAGAUAAUUCGGUUGGUAGAGCCGGUGAAAGAAUAAUAGAUCAACUAGGUGAUUCGGCCGGCAAGCCGAACACAAAAGGUCAAAAGAAACUAUGGCUUUGCUAGAAUGGUGGAAAGAUUAAAGGAAAUAGAGAAUUCGACCACAAAAAUCCAAGUCGAAAAGGAUCUCGCUGAGGAAUUCGAAGAGUCGCCGAUCAAAAUCGGUGAAAAGAAGUUGGACAUUCAAAGUCCUCUGAUCGAAGUAAAUUUAAGGUUGGACGAGGACAGACGACCAACCUUCAUUAGUGCAAAACUUUAUGCGAAACAACAAGGGGAGCUGAUCGACCUACUAAGGAGAUAUAAAGACUACUUCGCUUGGAGAUAUGAAGAGAUCCCGGGGCUAAGUCAAAAGAUUGUAGAGUAUAGGCUCCCUACAAAAAAAGGAUUUGGGCUUUAUAAGCAACUGGUUUGUAGGUUUAUGUCGAGUAUUGUACUGCAAACAAAAGAUAAAAUUAAAAAGCUUUUGAGAGCCAAUUUUAUUAGAGUAACUUGUUAUGUUGACUGGGUUUCUAAUAUAGUUUUGAUGCAUAAAAAGAAGGCAAACUUAGAAUUUGUAUUAAUUUUAGAAACUUGAAUACGCCUAAAGAUGGAUACCCCAUGCUAAUAGCUUAUAUGCUAGUCGAUACUGCAGCUGGUCAUGAAAUCUUGUCGUUCAUGGAUGGAUAUGCUGGCUACAGUUAAAAUUUUAUAGCCAAAGAGGAUAUAUCAAAAAUGGCUUUCAGAUGCGCGGGAUCAGUUGGAACCUUCGAGCAAAUUGUGAUUCCUUUCAGCUUAAAGAAUGCCGGAACCACUUACCAACAAAUGAUAAGUAUAGUGGUAAAAUUCAAAUAAAAAAUCGAUCAUUGGGCUGAUUUAAAAUUAGCCUCCGAAUGCAUGAAGAAAUAUGAUUUAGGUUAAACUACAAAAAAGCUCUAUGUGAAUGUGAACCCAGGAGUAAAACCGAUGUAACCCAUCUCAAACGCUAAUCUCUGGCAGCGAAGGACUCCCACUGGUGAAGAGCGACCUGCUGGAUUACCCGGAACCCGCCGAGUACAGAAAUCGCCUAAUCUCGAGCUCUAUGUAACAAAAUUCACCAAUUCAGUCCAGAAAUUGCAGCAGUGAGGUACAACGGAGAUUCGACCAAGCUAACCUUCACCGAAUCCAGCAAGUAAGGGCUUCGUAGAUUUCUCUCGAAGUCCCGAAUCCAACGAACCAAGUCCCGUCGCAAUCCGAUGCUCCUACGUCGAGAACGAGCUGAAAAACUAACGGUCGACGAUGGGAAUCAGCAAACAGCACCUAGCUCGAAAUGUCAAUACUUGAAGCAACGCAACGGAACGCUCACCUCAACGGUUAAUCGGUCAGCGACACGGCGUCGAGAACGGCGAAAACGCACCCUCGCCUAGCUUCCUCGCAGCGCUACGAUCCCAACCGUAUCCCCGAACGGCUUCGCGGCACGACGUCGGUGUCGAAUCCGAGCUCCAACCGAACUCCUCCACGGUCAAACCAAGCUAGAGAGGGAGAGGGGAAAAAGGAGCAGCAAUAGAACUCCCUCUCAAGCUCUCUACGUCUGUAUAAAGAGGUAGGUGGAGUGGUGAUACAAACGAGGGAGAGAAUUACUAAAUUAACCCUCUACCUACCCCCUUGUACCGGUACACGGGCUCUUGUACCGGUACAAGAGCCAACCCGAGAGCUGCUAAUCCUCUGCGCGAUGGUUGUACCGGUACAGCCACGCUGGUUGUACCGGUACAGCAAGCAGAGAAAUCUGCAGUUUUGCAGAUUUCUUCGCUAUAAGCUGCCCUCGCGUCGCACGGAGUCCGUUUUACGUCUAUUUGACGCCAACGCGACUCGGACUUGUCCCGACACUCUCCAGAGCUGUCGACAAGCCUCCACAACAGAACACCAGGGAUCUCACAUACAAUCUCUCAAGAAGCUCACAAUUACAAAUCAAUGAACAAUUAGGACUUAGAGAAUUUUUCUGAAGUUGUGUCACAAACAACAUCCAAGCCCCCCUUUAAAUACACUAGCCAUCAUUUCAAAAAUGGAACAAAAGCAUAAUUAAAUUAUAAUUGAUUUCAAUUUGAAUUUUAACCAUAUUUGCAAAUGCAUUUGAAUUAAUUCCAAAAUAAAUUCGAAUUCAUACCACAUUUGCAAAACAUUUGAAAUAUUACUAUAUUGAAAAGCUCAUUUGAAAUUAUACUAAAUUUAUAAAAUUCAAAUUCAUACCACAUUUGCAAAACUCAUUUGAAAUAUUACUAUAUUGAAAAGCUCAUUUGAAAUUAUACUAAAUUUAUAAAAUCCUUUUAAAUUAAUACUACAAAUGAAAAACUUUUUGAAUUCAUUCCACAUUUGUAAAAGCUUUUAAAAUAAUACAAUACUUAUAAAACUCAUUUAUAUCAUAUUUCAUAUUUUUUAAAUUCAUACUAUAUUAAAAUCAAAUUUGAAUUUAUACCAUACAUAAAAUCACUUUCAUACCAUAUUAAAAUAAUGGCUAAUUUGACAUUAAGCUCAAAUCAAACCCAAAGGUGAAUUGGUCAACUUGACUAGGUUGACCGGCUCAAAUCCGAUAAAUUGUAAAGAAGUCCUCCAAAUUUUUGUUGUGGCACUUGUAUCCAAUUUGGUACAAUUUGAUCUUGUCCGGGCCAAUUUGAAUAAUUUGAUUGAAUGGUUACCUUUGAUCAAUUCCGGUUCAGCUUGAGCCACUUUAAAUUCAACUAUAACCUGAAAUUGCUAAAUGACAAAUUAAAUCCAAUAUUUGUUUGUUAUCAUCAAAAUUUAUUAUUGGAUAAAAUCCAACAAGUUUAACAACGUGAUGGUCAAUUGUUCAGUUUAACGACUUGACGGUCAUAUUUGAAUAUUAUUUGCUCAGUUUAGCGAUAUGGCGGUCGAUUUUAAAUUGAGUUGCUCAGUUUAGCGACAUGGCGGUCGAUUUGACUUUUGGUGCUCAGUUUAAUGACAUGGCGGUCGGAUGUUCAGUUUAAUGACUUAACAGUCAUUCGUUCAGUUUAAUGACUUGAUGGUCAUUUGUUCAGUUUAACGACUUGAGGGUCAAUUUGAAUUUGAAUUCAGUUUAACGAUUUGACGAUCAAAUGUUCAGUUUAACGACUUGAUGGUCUUUUGUUUAGUUUAACGACUUGAUAUUCAAUUUAACGACUUGGUGGUCAUUUGUUCAGUUUAACGACUUGAGGGUCAAUUUGAAUUCGACUUUAGCUUAACGACUUGACGGUCAAAUGUUCAGUUUAACGACUUAAUGGUCAUUUGAAUUUGUAUUCAGUUUAACGACUUGAUGGUCAUUUGUUCAGUUUAACGACUUGAGGGUCAAUUUGAAUUUGAAUUCAGUUUAAUGACUUGAUGGUCAAAUGUUCAGUUUAACAACUUGAUGGUCAAAUGUCCAGUUUAACGACUUAAUGGUCAUUUUGAAUUUGAAUUCAGUUUAACGACUUGACGGUCAAGUGUUCAGUUUAACGACUUGAUGGUCAAUUGUUCAGUUUAACGACUUGACGGUCGUUGUUUAGUUUAACGACUUUGCGGUCAUUUAGUUUAACGACUUUACGGUCGUUUGAAUGUGAGUUGUUUAGUUUAACGACUUUGCAGUCGUUUGAAUGUGAGUUGUUUAGUUUAACGACUUUGCGGUCGCUUGGAUCUGAGAGGCUUUGGAUUUUGGGGUUUUAUUUGUGGACUUUAGGUUUUGGGCUUUAUUUGUGGACUUUGGGUUUUGAGAUUUUAUUUGUGGACUUUGGGUUUUGGAUCUUAUUUGUGGACUUUGGAUUUUGAGUUGGAUUCAGAUCGAGUUGACGUGAACCUUUUGUAUUUGAUUUGGGUUGAGCCGCCUUAGGUUGGU